CUCGCGGCCUAUCAGGUAGAUGGUGAGGUAAUGGCUCACCAAGGCUUCGACGGGUAGCCGGCCUGAGAGGGUGACCGGCCACACUGGGACUGAGACACGGCCCAGACUCCUACGGGAGGCAGCAGUGGGGAAUAUUGCACAAUGGGCGCAAGCCUGAUCCAGCAACGCCGCGUGAGGGAUGACGGCCUUCGGGUUGUAAACCUCUUUCAGCAGGGACGAAGCGCAAGUGACGGUACCUGCAGAAGAAGCACCGGCCAACUACGUGCCAGCAGCCGCGGUAAUACGUAGGGUGCGAGCGUUAUCCGGAAUUAUUGGGCGUAAAGAGCUCGUAGGCGGUUUGUCGCGUCGGCAGUGAAAACCAGAGGCUCAACACCCAGCUUGCAGUGGAUACGGGCAGACUAGAGGUCUUCAGGGGAGAUCGGAAUUCCUGGUGUAGCGGUGAAAUGCGCAGAUAUCAGGAGGAACACCGAUGGCGAAGGCGGAUCUCUGGGAAGUACCUGACGCUGAGGAGCGAAAGCAUGGGGAGCGAACAGGAUUAGAUACCCUGGUAGUCCACACCGUAAACGUUGGGAGCUAGGUGUAGGGUCCAUUCCACGGAUUCCGUGUCGCAGCUAACGCAUUAAG
Molecule: ribosomal RNA, 624 nt
Filed under: Nocardioides sp.
Lineage: Bacteria; Bacillati; Actinomycetota; Actinomycetes; Propionibacteriales; Nocardioidaceae
Description: bacterial SSU rRNA
Rfam family: Bacterial small subunit ribosomal RNA
Source: RNAcentral